Long non-coding RNA from Salvia hispanica, 1020 nucleotides. RefSeq lists it as uncharacterized. Lineage: Eukaryota; Viridiplantae; Streptophyta; Magnoliopsida; Lamiales; Lamiaceae. The record is from RefSeq and is a predicted model, not a curated record.
CAUUCAAUACUCAUAGAGGCCCAGCAUCACAUUCAAGUUAAUUGGGAGAUUAAAUCUCUUCAUCAAAUCCUAACCCCAAACGUUCUCUCUCUGAGUCUCUCUCAAAGCUGCCACGGCCGGCUGGGACCUGCCCUUCCCACCGUGGAAGGGCAGGCCGUGCGACGUUUUUCCCAUCCAUGGAUCUCUCAUCUCUCAGCACCAUCUCUCUCUCUUGACCUGCGUUUCAUUCCCUGUGACUGUUGAGUGGAUGUUGAUCUGUAGAGCUUCUUGGUUAGCUUCUGAGCAAUGGACUGAUGGGAUAGUAUGGCGGAUCCAUAGUGGAUUUUCUCAUGUCUUGAAGUCUCUGAUUUCCUUGUUCGUUGCUUUGACAAGAUAGUUGCAUUAUAGCUGGAUUUGUUGCUUGUUUUGGUCUUGAUUCUCAAGGAUUUGAGGCAGAUUGUUGGCUUUGCAGCAAGUUUUUGCACAACAAGGAACUUGGCUAGGGGUACAAGAUGCUGCUUAGUUGGUUGAGUCAUCUAAGAUUAGAAGAUUAUGCGUUUUGGUGGAGUUACAGAAUUGCUAAUGUGAUGAAUAGCCCUUUAGAGAUAUGAAUGGUGUUUGAAUGUGGUCUAAAGAUUUAGAAUAUCACUUGGCAGCAAGUUUGUAGGAUUGGAUGAGUUGCAUGGUUUGUGUGGUGAUAUUAGAUGUACUCGUGAUGCUAGUGAAUGUUUUGAGACAUCAAGAUUUAACCAUAAUUCUAUCAACAAUGUGAUGGAUUACAAAUGCUCAAGAUGGACUAAGAUUGAGAUGUUAGUAGUAGUUCUUUUUUCCUUUUGUAGUUUGAUGUUCUUGUCAAGAUGGCAGCAUUUAUUUGCUUCCAUCUUGAGGGAGGCUGUUGAAAUAGAAAAAUUAAAAUGUAGUAGCUUUUAAUUAGUUAGUUUAGCCUUUAUUCUCAGCUCAUAUAUAAGACAAUGCAUUGUAUUUUGUAGUCAACACUUUUCACAAUGUAGUCAAUAAAGAUUUUUUGCCCUUUUCUCUUCA